UAACACUGAUUAUUACACCGAUAAGGAUUUAUCAGCAAGUUCUAGGUGGGGGGUUUGGGCCCAGAGGUGAAGGUUUAGUGGUAGCCAUAAGUAGGAACACUGUGGGAGGAGGAGCACCUCGUCACGUGCCUACACCUAAACUCCCACCCACCUCUUUAUACCUCCUAUCAUUAUUAUCCGAGAUCUGCAGCAAGAUGGUAGAAAGUAUUAGCUCCCAUGAUAGCUCCUCCGUUCAAGAUGAAUAUCAGGCGACACCUCCUUCCUUUGGGGAAGACACUGGCGUGGAGAACAACCUGGGGCAGGAGAACACUCAACAGGAUGAAGUUGAAGUGUUGACAGGUUGUGGAGGAUUAGCUUGCUGCAAUCCUAAUAAUGGAGCAUAUAGAUUUAUUGCUCUUGUAUUCAUGUGCUUCCUUAGUUUUGGCUCAUACUUCUGUUAUGACACCCCUGGAGCACUGCAAGAUCAUAUCAAGAGUGAUAUGAAUGUCAACACUCUUCAGUUUGCAAGUCUUUACUCUCUCUAUUCUUGGCCAAAUGUGAUUCUUUGCUUUGUUGGAGGAUUUCUCAUUGACAGAAUCUUUGGUAUUCGACUAGGUGCUAUUAUUUUCUCAUCAAUUGUUACACUUGGCCAAUUCGUCUAUGCAUUGGGUGGAAUAAUAAAUCAAUUUUGGAUGAUGCAAGUUGGAAGAUUUAUUUUUGGUAUUGGUGGAGAAUCACUUGCUGUUGCUCAAAACACCUACACUGUUAGUUGGUUCAAAGGGAAAGAACUGAACACAGUAUUUGGGCUGUUAUUAAGUAUGGCAAGGGUUGGCUCAACAGUCAACUUCCUAGUCAUGGUGCCACUCUAUGAUUGGGUUGGUACUUUUGCUCAGGGUCAUAAGCAACUUGGAAUUUCUUUGAUGAUUGCUGGUGCCACUUGCCUGUUUUCCCUUGGAUGCGCUCUACUUUUAGGCAUUCUUGACAAAAGGCGAACAAAAAUUCUACGUCUUAAUACUGCUGAAACUGGAGAAAAAGUUCAUCUGUCUGAUGUCCUUUCAUUUCCACUCACAUUCUGGUUGAUUUCUGUCAUUUGUGUAUCAUAUUAUGUUGCCAUCUUUCCAUUCAUUGGCCUUGCAAAGGUUUUCUUCAUGCGCAAAUUUGAACUGAAUGACAAAACUUCCAAUGCCGUGAGCAGCAUUGUUUAUAUAAUAUCUGCUAUUGCUUCUCCGAUACUGGGAUUUGUGGUGGAUCGAACUGGUCGUAAUAUAUUUUGGGUGUUCCUGGCUGUACUCGUCUCUUUGGGAUGCCAUGCGCUUCUCGCUUUCACAUUCCUCAACCCAUUCGUUGCCAUGAGUAUUUUAGGCCUGGCUUACUCCCUUCUGGCAAGUGCUUUGUGGCCGAUGGUUUCCCUUGUCAUUCCUGAUCAUCAACUAGGAACUGCUUAUGGCAUGAUGCAGAGUAUCCAAAACUUGGGUUUAGCCCUCAUCAGCAUGCUAGCAGGACUGAUAGUGGAUGUGAAGGGUUACUUGGUCCUUGAGAUGUUCUACAUGGUGUGGCUCUGUAUUGCGCUGGCUUCGACUGCUGCCAUCGCUGUGGUGGACAGUAAUGGUAGCGGGUAUCUAAUGAUGUCACCUGCUCAAAGGCGACUGGAAAAACAAGCUUCAGAGGGAAAAUCAAAUGAAGCAUUUGAUGAGAAACUUUAAGAAUAUAAUUAAUUCGGCCAUACAUCAAAUUGCCUUGGUAUCCACUGUGGGAAUAUGGCUAUCAGACUCCACUAAAGGAGGCAUUCUAAAUUUGUCUGUAAGUCAACGAUGCAGACGGGAAGAAGACACUGAAUGUUUGCUGGAGUCUUAGAGAAAUGAAAUACUCAGAGAGCAGCCCAGGUACUGAUUGGGAAUAUGUGUGAUAUAUAUUAAUUUGUGCCCUUAUAUUCACCCAGAGUCAAAGCUUUUGAUAACUAUUCAUUAACUUUGAAGUUUCUGCACUUGAAGUAUUAGGUUUGAUCAAAGUGAUUUUUUUAAUGUGUCAGAGAGACUGCAUUAGUUAGCUAUUAUUACUAUCAUAUCAGUUGGGUGUUAUUUAAGACUGAGUGGUAAUCCACUAUUGAAGGAAAUCUACGUGUUGAAGUGCAUGUCAGACAUGGCACUCAGUUACUGUUCAUCUCGGCUGCCUCUCAUGCAGGUGGCAAAUUGAUCAGUUAUUGUUUGUGCUGGAGAAUGUUUUCUUUACUAAUGAGGUAAUUUAUAAUGUAAACGACACUGUUUAUAAAGAAAAAUAAGGCUUCUUAAUUGAAGAUUUUUUCCUUUGAUCUACAGGGUUACACAAAUAACCCACACAUAGAAGAGAGGAGCCUACGACCAAAACGUCGUCGUAGGCUCCUCUCUUCUAUGUGAGGGGUUAUUUGUGUAUCGUUCCAGUCACAGUAUUGUGCCUUUUUUUGUUAUCUACAGGGUUACCAGUUAACAAGACAAGUUGAUUCGUCUCUAAUAGUACUUGCUGGGAUGUAAAGCGAGAGUUACCACAUUUAUACUUUUGCUUUUAAAUAUCAUUCCAAUGUGUAGCCAUCACUCAUUUUUCCUCUGAAGUUUUUAGUUAUUAAUUUGUAUUUUUUCAUUGUACAGUACUUUAUUACAGUAUUACAAUUUAAUAGCUAGUAAUAUUAAAAGUAUGAAAAUAAGUUAAAAGUUCUGCAACUGAAUACAAAACAGUAUAAUUUUAUUUCAUAUAUACAUAUGUAAUGUCUUGCAGUCCUUACUUAGCACCAAACCCUUGUUUGGCAUGACACUAGGUGAAUACUGUUCAGUCUGAGUUGCCACAUCAGUGACUAGUGGACAUUAUUACCGGUGAUUGGGCCCUCACUGUCUGGGUGUUUUUGGUAUGUUAUCAUAGUUAUUUCUUCAGAUUCUAGGUUUUGGGCUAGAAGGGCACACUGUAGAGUUAAGAAAACAUGAUUUGUCCCAGAUUUACAACAAAUGCCUCUCAAUCCCUAUGCCCAUAUUAGGAAGUAAAACCAUGGUUAACACAGUACCUGGUAAAUACCUAAUUGCACACUUAAGUUUAGUCUUAGUACCUAAUACAGUACUGUGAUUCCAGUAGGUGUAAUAAUAAAUCAUAUUAAGUCUUUAGUUUUCAAUUAUAGUUCAUAAUAGGACUUCUGUGAUAAUUUUUUUUUAUUUAAAAGGCAGGUGGUGAUUUUGACAAAGAAUUUUUGUAAAUCUCUUUUAGGAAGUAUCUUUACAAACACUGCAUUCUCUUGGCAACAUACUGUGUACUGACUUACAUGUAGCUGGAAGUAUAAGUCUUGCUCCUGGCCCUGCCUCUUAACUUGCUGCUUGCCAGAUUCACUCCCCCUACCUUGUGGGCCUUAUUGUACCUGCUCAUAGAGGUAUGUAAGGUGCCUGCCUCCACCACUUCUUCACCGAGAUCAUUCCACUUUCCGACCUCCAUGAGAAUGAAGAAAUACCUCCUGAUAUUCCUGUUGCUCAUCUGUGUUUUUAACUUCCAGCUGGAUUCCCAAGUUCCCAUUUCUUGCUCUCAAACAGCCUGUUCAUGUUUACCCUCUCAAUUCUCAGAGUAUUUUGUAUGUUAUCAUAUCUCCCCUGGCUUUUCUAUUCUCCAGUGUCAUUAUAUUCACUUCCAUUAGCCUUUCCUCAUAGCUCAUUCCCUUAACUUAGGAUCAGGCCUUAUUGCAUACUUCUGCACUUUCUCCAGUUUCUUAUCAUGCUUCCUCAGGAGUGGGUUCCAUAUUGAUGCUGCAUACACCAAGAUGGGCCUGAUAUACAUUGUACAAAAUGCUUGGAAAGCCUCUUUGUUGAGAUUCCUGAAGACCACUCUUAGAUUUACUAAGUGAGCAUUGGCCCUGUGUAUAUUGUACAUAAUAUACAAUACAUGAAAAUACAUGUGUGCUAUUUUCUUAGAGCAUUGUCAUGCACAUUUGGUACUGUACUUAUGAUAUAUAUACAUAACUAACUUGGUAACCCUGCUGGCAACCACUAGUCAAGGAGAAGCAAAUCGAAGCAGUCAAACAUAUCAGUUGCUUUUUGUCACCUCAGAUAGGUAAGACCUAUUCUGCUGAUACACAAAAUACAGUGGACCCCCGGCUUACGAUAUUAUUUCAUUCCAGAAGUAUGUUCAGGUGCCAUUACUGAACAAAUUUGUUCCCAUAAGGAAUAUUGUGAAUUAGAUUAGUCCAUUUCAGACCCCCAAACAUACAUGUACAAACUUUUUUUUUUUUUUUUUU
Non-coding RNA from Cherax quadricarinatus, 4219 nucleotides. The record is from RefSeq and is a predicted model, not a curated record. Lineage: Eukaryota; Metazoa; Arthropoda; Malacostraca; Decapoda; Parastacidae.